GGCUGGUCUGAAGGUAGUGCGUUAUCUCAAUCAGUUGUUCAUAGUCAGUUACAGACCAAACUGAUUGUUCUGUUCUUUCCUCCCUUCUCACUCCUGCACUUCACUAGUCUCAA
Molecule: Y RNA, 113 nt
Filed under: Prolemur simus (greater bamboo lemur)
Lineage: Eukaryota; Metazoa; Chordata; Mammalia; Primates; Lemuridae
Description: Y RNA (ENSPSMG00000011017.1)
Rfam family: Y RNA
About the family: Y RNAs are components of the Ro ribonucleoprotein particle (Ro RNP), in association with Ro60 and La proteins. The Y RNAs and Ro60 and La proteins are well conserved, but the function of the Ro RNP is not known. In humans the RNA component can be one of four small RNAs -- hY1, hY3, hY4 and hY5.
Source: Rfam by way of RNAcentral